RNAcentral lists this ribosomal RNA (455 nucleotides) under uncultured Methylobacterium sp. RNAcentral describes it as "bacterial SSU rRNA". It matches the Rfam family "Bacterial small subunit ribosomal RNA", at positions 923 to 1379 of the family's 1533-position model. The record is from RNAcentral. Lineage: Bacteria; Pseudomonadati; Pseudomonadota; Alphaproteobacteria; Hyphomicrobiales; Methylobacteriaceae.
GCACAAGCGGUGGAGCAUGUGGUUUAAUUCGAAGCAACGCGCAGAACCUUACCAUCCCUUGACAUGGCAUGUUACCUCGAGAGAUCGGGGAUCCUCUUCGGAGGCGUGCACACAGGUGCUGCAUGGCUGUCGUCAGCUCGUGUCGUGGGAUGUUGGGUUAAGUCCCGCAACGAGCGCAACCCACGUCCUUAGUUGCCAUCAUUCAGUUGGGCACUCUAGGGAGACUGCCGGUGAUAAGCCGCGAGGAAGGUGUGGAUGACGUCAAGUCCUCAUGGCCCUUACGGGAUGGGCUACACACGUGCUACAAUGGCGGUGACAGUGGGACGCGAAACCGCGAGGUUGAGCAAAUCCCCAAAAGCCGUCUCAGUUCGGAUUGCACUCUGCAACUCGGGUGCAUGAAGGCGGAAUCGCUAGUAAUCGUGGAUCAGCACGCCACGGUGAAUACGUUCCCGGGC